AAUCAUUCUAACUCUAUAAAUAUAGAGCUGUGUUCUGUCCCUGGAAUAAGGUUUGGUCCAGAACCAAUCCAAAGAUGAAGAUCCUUUAUCUGCUCUUUGCAGUCCUUUUUCUUACUUUCCUGCCUGAGCCAGGAAGUGCCAGCCAAGUACAAAAACAACGUAGGUGCUAUUGGCUUCGCUGUCAUCCUGGCUACAGUCAAAUUGGAAGAAGAUGCUGUCGCAAUGUUAAAGGAAAAUGAUGCAAUCUCUAUCCUGGAUAUCUCUGAGUUGUGGCCAACGACCUGUCACCACCGUCUGUUAUCGCUUUAGCUUCUCUUAUAUAAAUCAAAAUUGCUAUCUAUCGGACUCUAAAACAUGUAUACGUUGAAGCAAAAUUUGGCAUUUUUUUCUUAAAAUAAAGCUAAAUCAGC
Ahaetulla prasina is the source of this 410-nucleotide long non-coding RNA. RefSeq lists it as uncharacterized. The transcript has 3 exons. NCBI's taxonomy places the organism in Eukaryota, Metazoa, Chordata, Lepidosauria, Squamata, Colubridae. The record is from RefSeq and is a predicted model, not a curated record.